GUGACAAAAUAAAGGGCACUAAUGAUUAUGCACUUAAACAGACAAGAGUGACUUGUGGACAACUUCUGCUCUCCUUGUGUGAUGUCUCUUCUUAAAUAGGCAGCUUGAGAGCAGAAGUUGUCCACAAAUCCCUCCUGUCUGUUUUAAGUGCAUAAUCAUUAGUGCCCUUUAUUUUGUCAC
Podarcis lilfordi (Lilford's wall lizard) is the source of this 180-nucleotide non-coding RNA. The record is from the annotation of a GenBank genome assembly. NCBI's taxonomy places the organism in Eukaryota, Metazoa, Chordata, Lepidosauria, Squamata, Lacertidae.